Molecule: ribosomal RNA, 259 nt
Filed under: Petalops distinctus
Lineage: Eukaryota; Metazoa; Arthropoda; Insecta; Hemiptera; Coreidae
Description: partial small subunit ribosomal RNA
Source: RNAcentral
UCUGUAAAAAAGUUGAUUUUAGAUUGAUCCUGUCUUAAUUUUUUAUUGUUUGAUUAGUUGAUUUAUAAUAUUAAAUAUAAGUUUUUGCUUGAUACCUCUAUUUUCUUAAUGAUCAUUGAGUUGUUUAUUUUUAGUUUUUAUUUUUGGGUAUCAAAUAACUUUGUACCUAGUUAAUUUUUUAUAGGACUGUUUAAUGUUGUGCCAGCAAACGCGGUUAUACAAUUAGUUCAAAUUAAUUUUUUUGGUUAUUUAUUUAUUU